Molecule: ribosomal RNA, 253 nt
Filed under: uncultured bacterium
Lineage: Bacteria
Description: partial 16S ribosomal RNA
Rfam family: Bacterial small subunit ribosomal RNA
Source: RNAcentral
UACGGGGGGUGCGAGCGUUGUCCGGAAUUACUGGGCGUAAAGGGCUCGUAGGCGGCCAACUAAGUCGGAUGUGAAAUCCCCAGGCUUAACCUGGGAACUGCAUCCGAUACUGGAUGGCUUGAAUUCGGGAGAGGGAUGCAGAAUUCCAGGUGUAGCGGUGAAAUGCGUAGAUAUCUGGAGGAAUACCGGUGGCGAAGGCGGCAUCCUGGACCGAGAUUGACGCUGAUGAGCGAAAGCUAGGGGAGCAAACAGG